This 207-nucleotide microRNA precursor is filed under the name Oryza sativa Japonica Group (Japanese rice). RNAcentral's name for it is "MIR812 microRNA precursor family". It matches the Rfam family "MIR812 microRNA precursor family". Lineage: Eukaryota; Viridiplantae; Streptophyta; Magnoliopsida; Poales; Poaceae. The record is from Rfam by way of RNAcentral.
AAUAAGUGCAGCCGUGAAUAUCCGUGUCCAACGUUUGACUGUCCGUCUUAUUUGAAAAUUUUGUGAAAAAUUUGAAAAUAUUUAGUCACACAUAAAGUACUAUUCAUGUUUUAUCAUCUAAGAGCAAUAAAAAUACUAACCAUAAAAAAAUUCAAAUAAAAUGAACGGUCAAACGUUGAACGUGAACAGUGCAAAACUGUACUUAUU